This 253-nucleotide ribosomal RNA is filed under the name uncultured bacterium. RNAcentral describes it as "partial 16S ribosomal RNA". It matches the Rfam family "Bacterial small subunit ribosomal RNA", at positions 524 to 776 of the family's 1533-position model. The record is from RNAcentral.
UACGUAGGGGGCGAGCGUUGUCCGGAAUCACUGGGUGUAAAGGGUGCUCAGGCGGGUCAGUAAGUCAGGGGUGAAAUUUCACAGCUUAACUGUGAAUGUGCUUUUGAUACUGCUGGUCUAGAGUUCAGGAGAGGGCAAUGGAAUUCUUGGUGUAGCGGUGAAAUGCGUAGAUAUCAAGAAGAACACCGGUUGCGAAGGCGGUUGCCUGGCCUGUAACUGACGCUCAAGCUCGAAAGCGUGGGGAUCAAACAGG